RNAcentral lists this ribosomal RNA (446 nucleotides) under uncultured bacterium. RNAcentral describes it as "partial 16S ribosomal RNA". It matches the Rfam family "Bacterial small subunit ribosomal RNA", at positions 338 to 795 of the family's 1533-position model. The record is from RNAcentral.
CCUACGGGGCGCAGCAGUAGGGAAUUUUCGGCAAUGGGGGGAACCCUGACCGAGCAACGCCGCGUGAACGAAGAAGUUAUUCGUAUUGUAAAGUUCUUUUAACAGGGAAGAAAGAGAACUUUGACGGUACCUGAAGAAUAAGCGCCGGCUAACCACGUGCCAGCAGCUGCGGUAAUACGUAGGGAGCCAGCGUUAUCCGGAAUUCUUGGGCGUAAAGGGUGCGUUGAUGGCAUAGUAAGCCUUUGGUAAAAAUGCUGGGAUCAACCCAGUAGGGCAAAAGAUACUGCAAAGCUAGAGUAUGACAGAGGCAAGUGGAACUACAGGUGUAGCGGUAAAAUGCGUAAAUAUAUGGAAGAACACCAGUGGCGAAGGCGGCUUGCUGGGUCGAUACUGACACUGAGGCACGAAAGCGUGGGGAGCAAACAGGAUUAGAUACCCGGGUAGUC